ACUUGUCAUUACUUCACUUUUUUUUGCUCCCCAGGGUCUCAUUGACGUGGAGAAGGAAGUGGCAAAACUGAUGACAAAGAAAGGUGACUUGGAGAAACAGAUGGAGAAACUGAGAGAGAAUAUGGGGAAGAGUGACUACAAAGAGAAGGUGCCAGCGAAGGUGCAGGAGCAAGAUGCAGAGAAGCUACGGCAGAGCCAAACUGAACUUGAGAAAGUGAAAGAAGCAGUGGAAAACUUCAGGAAAAUGAUGUAACUCCCCCCUCACCAAUAUGUAAAUCAAGAUUUGUUUCCACUUUUUCAUGUCAUUGUGUUAAUUUUCAUAUUCAUUUUUCAAGUUGAUUGUAGCGUGGAAGGACUUCAAUAAAGCUCUUAGACAAGUGUCUUCAGGGA
Long non-coding RNA from Stegastes partitus (bicolor damselfish), 390 nucleotides. RefSeq lists it as uncharacterized. NCBI's taxonomy places the organism in Eukaryota, Metazoa, Chordata, Actinopteri, Pomacentridae. The transcript has 2 exons. The record is from RefSeq and is a predicted model, not a curated record.